GACGAACGCUGGCGGCGUGCUUAACACAUGCAAGUCGAACGGGAAGGCCCUGCUUUUGUGGGGUGCUCGAGUGGCGAACGGGUGAGUAACACGUGAGUAACCUGCCCUUGACUUUGGGAUAACUUCAGGAAACUGGGGCUAAUACCGGAUAGGAGCUCCUGCUGCAUGGUGGGGGUUGGAAAGUUUCGGCGGUUGGGGAUGGACUCGCGGCUUAUCAGCUUGUUGGUGGGGUAGUGGCUUACCAAGGCUAUGACGGGUAGCCGGCCUGAGAGGGUGACCGGCCACAUUGGGACUGAGAUACGGCCCAGACUCCUACGGGAGGCAGCAGUGGGGAAUAUUGCACAAUGGGCGGAAGCCUGAUGCAGCAACGCCGCGUGCGGGAUGACGGCCUUCGGGUUGUAAACCGCUUUCGCCUGUGACGAAGCGUGAGUGACGGUAAUGGGUAAAGAAGCACCGGCUAACUACGUG
Molecule: ribosomal RNA, 468 nt
Filed under: uncultured bacterium
Lineage: Bacteria
Description: partial 16S ribosomal RNA
Rfam family: Bacterial small subunit ribosomal RNA
Source: RNAcentral